Molecule: ribosomal RNA, 253 nt
Filed under: uncultured bacterium
Lineage: Bacteria
Description: partial 16S ribosomal RNA
Rfam family: Bacterial small subunit ribosomal RNA
Source: RNAcentral
UACGGAGGGUGCAAACGUUGCUCGGAAUCAUUGGGCGUAAAGAGCUCGUAGGCGGCCUGUUGCGUCCGCUGUGAAAUCCCGGGGCUUAACCCCGGGCGUGCAGUGGAUACGGGCUGGCUGGAGGCAGGCAGGGGAGAACGGAAUUCCCGGUGUAGCGGUGAAAUGCGCAGAUAUCGGGAGGAACACCGGUGGCGAAGGCGGUUCUCUGGGCCUGUACUGACGCUGAGGAGCGAAAGCGUGGGGAGCGAACAGG